UAUUUUGUUGCAUCUGGAUUCUUACCCUUGGAAGGAUUGUGACUUUAGCACUUACACAUCACUAUGAACACCCUGCUGUGAAAACAAACAUUAUUUAGAUUGUAUUUCCUCUAUUCAUAGGAUUGCUAUCUGAUAGCCAAUUGAUAUAUUAUCUAAAUGAUGUCCUUGUGUACCUUCCAAGCUUAUCCAACAUUUGCUCUCUACUAUAGAGGGAUCAUGCUAAUAAAUUAGCUGCCUCUAGUUGAUGAGAUAGCAAUUAUUAUUCUUUAUUUUACUCUGCUGAAACUGGGAACCUAUGCCUUUGAUAUGCACUCUGUUUGGAUAAUUGCAUUGAGGAAAUUGUAAACUAAUAAAUAGGACUUCAAAGAGUUUGGGCAAACUAAGUUCAUGCAUAGAUGAUGUGCAAUUUUUACUUCAAAUAUUUGUAGUCUAAAGCGUGACCUUUUUAUUUGUUCUUCAAUGUGUAUUGCAUGAUCAAGUGGAAGAUGAAAGCAGAAUUUAUUUAUUUUUAAUUCUUCCUUUAUCAUUCUUCAGUAAUGAUUGCCAAUUUAUGGGUCUUUUAUUGCAUGAAAAUUUUGGAUGGAAUUUACUGCUUUUUCACAUCAAGAACCCAUGUUUUAACAUCUGCUCGACGAUCAUUCAGAUUGCUGACUCAUGGGAAUCCCUGGAUGGAUGGCUGGAUGCAAUCCGUC
Molecule: unclassified non-coding RNA, 692 nt
Filed under: Hevea brasiliensis (rubber tree)
Lineage: Eukaryota; Viridiplantae; Streptophyta; Magnoliopsida; Malpighiales; Euphorbiaceae
Source: RNAcentral